GUUUAACGGCCGCGGUACUUUGACCGUGCGAAGGUAGCGCAAUCACUUGUCUUUUAAAUGGAGACCUGUAUGAAUGGCAUAACGAGGGCUAAGCUGUCUCCUUUCUCCAGUCAAUGAAAUUGAUCUGCCCGUGCAGAAGCGGACAUAAAAACAUAAGACGAGAAGACCCUAUGGAGCUUCAGACACGGCAAACCGUGUUAACAAACCUUAAUGAAAAGACAACCAAACGGCCCUGUCCCCCUGUCUUCGGUUGGGGCGACCGCGGGGAAACAAAAAUCCCCCACGUGGAAAGCUCCCUUUAAAAAAGGGCCACAGCCCUAAUAAACAGAAAAUCUGACCAACAGACCCGGCACAGCCGAUCAACGGACCCAGUUACCCUAGGGAUAACAGCGCAAUCCUCUUUUAGAGCCCAUAUCGACAAGAGGGUUUACGACCUCGAUGUUGGAUCAGGACAUCCUAAUGGUGCAGCCGCUAUUAAGGG
Molecule: ribosomal RNA, 481 nt
Filed under: Eleotris fusca (dusky sleeper)
Lineage: Eukaryota; Metazoa; Chordata; Actinopteri; Gobiiformes; Eleotridae
Description: partial 16S ribosomal RNA
Rfam family: Bacterial large subunit ribosomal RNA
Source: RNAcentral